Molecule: non-coding RNA, 26 nt
Filed under: Homo sapiens (human)
Lineage: Eukaryota; Metazoa; Chordata; Mammalia; Primates; Hominidae
Source: RNAcentral
UGGACAUGGCAUGUGAGGUGGACCUC